This 14526-nucleotide long non-coding RNA is filed under the name Triticum aestivum (bread wheat). RNAcentral describes it as "long non-coding RNA (TAES_LNC026871)". The record is from RNAcentral. Lineage: Eukaryota; Viridiplantae; Streptophyta; Magnoliopsida; Poales; Poaceae.
UCAGAUAUUUACCUUUGUUAAUAUUGCAGAACCUAAUAACUUUACGUAUAUUGCUAACAAUGAUUUUAGAGAGUACUUUGCCUUAGUAAUUCCCAUGGAACAACUGUCGUUCACUGAGAAACAAGCACACUGUCACUCCAAUAAUGCCAUACACCGCAGCUCAAACCACAAAACACAGUAAUCCUGAAAGCAUGAUCGAUAAGUAUUAUAGGUUGUCUACAUGCAGCCAACAUCUCCUAUUUAUUGCAUAUAUUGUUAGCCUCUUGACGACAUUAUGCAUAAAUUAGAAUUCAACUAUAUUAUACUAUAUUGCUAAAAGAAUAUCCAAUGCAGAAAUGAAGGGACAGUGCGCAUCAAAAUCAGCAGGCCAACUUACAAAAGAAGCUAGAGAAGCUAUUAUCAGGAGGAAACAACAACUCCAACAAAAAAGGAGUGAGAGAUGCAGGAAUACACAGGAAACAACCGAUAAAACAGAAGAAGAUGCUUCACGGAAGAGAAAGGAACAAAUCAAAGAAAGAAAAGAUGUCAAGCGUGCAAGAACAAAUACAAGCGACAAUGAGCUUGAAAGCAACAUCAUAGAAAGAACCAGCAGCACUACGUCCGGAAGUUAUUAUAGCACGAUAUGGAACUUCCGAAAGCCAACAUAUAGAUGCGAACAUUGCAAUGCAAUACUAUGGUGUGAAGAAAGAUUAAAUUCUCAUAGAGGAACCAAAAAACCUUCUUUCGGAAUUUGCUGCAAACAAGGUAAAAUUGACCUACCAAAGAUAGCAUAUCCUCCACCUUACCUCGCAGGGCUAUUAACAGGUGAAGGAAGUGAUGAAAAAAACUUCAGAGAAAAUAUAAGGUCAUACAACUCAAUGUUCUCAUUCACAUCAAUGGGAGGAACUGUUGAUAGAGAAAUAAACAAAGGCAAAGGACUAUAUGUUUUUAGACUGCAUGGCCAGAGCUACCACCAUAUUGGAACUCUUCUACCCGAAGAAGGUAACAAACCUCGAUUUGCCCAGCUAUACAUCUAUCAGACAGAAAAUGAGGUGCAAAACAUGAUAGGUGCUUCAAGAUGCAAUGAUAAAAAAACAACGGUGGACCCUGCCAUUGUCAAGGAACUACAAGAAAUGCUUGAUGAGAACAACAUCAUUGCAAAGUCAUUCAGAAUGGCAAGAGAUAGAUUCGAAGAAGAAGACUACCACGAUUACAUGCUUCAAAUACUUGGGAAAAGGAAUGGAACACACAACCUUCCAUCUGCAUCAGAAAUUGCGGCAUUAGUUGUAAGAGACCCUACUGGAGAGAGCGAAGGACGAGACAUCGUUGUCGAGUACAAAAAUAUGGAAUCUCACAGAAUAUCGGAAAUCCAUCCGAAAUUAAUGUCAAUGCAAUACCCGUUGUUGUUUCCAUACGGAGAAGAUGGAUUCAAGCUUGAAAUACCUUACAAGGGAACAAAAGAAGGUGAAAAAAGAAGGAAAUAUGUAACUAUGCUGGACUACUAUGCAUACUACCUACAGCAAAGACCCGACCAAGGAAUGUCUUUGCUAACGUCUAGACAUCUAUCGCUUCAAUUUUGGGUGGAUGUUUACACAUGCAUUGAGCAAAACAGACUAAACUGGAUCAGGAAUAAUCAAGGGAAGCUACGAACUGAACUUUACAGUGGACUGCAGGACGCGAUUGAGCGAGGGGACACCAGGACAGAGUAGGUCGGAAAGAGGAUAGUUGUACCUUCAUCUUAUACAUGAGGUAGAAGAAACAAGGCACAAAACUUGCAAGACGCAUUUGCAAUAUGCCGUUGGGCUGGAUAUCCAGACCUAUUUAUAACAUUCACAUGCAAUGCAAAGUGUACUAAGAUUCAAUACAUGCUAGAUGAAGCAGGAGGAGGCCUCAAGCCAGCCGACCGACCAGAUAUUGUUGACCGAGUAUUCAUGAUAAAACUGAAGGAGCUAAUGAGAGAUAUCGUUGUGAAGAAAACUAUAGAAAGUAAGACCAGUCGACUACUAAUCGCUAACUAAUAGCACCUAAAGUUUCAAUUUUUAAGCACACAAUAGCCUUUAUCUAUUUAUUAAAAUGAUUCCAAAUUUUAACAAAAUAAAACUAUAUAUUCAAUCAAUGCAGUUAUCUACACAAUAGAGUUCCAGAAGAGGGGACUCCCGCAUGCACAUAUAUUGGUAUUUCUCAAGGAGAAUUACAAGUGCAAAGGACCAUCAGAAAUCAACCAAAUAAUCAGUGAGGAGAUCCCAGACAAAGAUGUCGAUCCAGACGGAUAUGAAGCUGUUGAAAACUUCAUGAUGCACGGGCCUUGCGGAGAGGCAAAUACAAAAUCACCAUGCAUGAUAGACAACAGAUGCACUAAACACUUCCCCAAACGGUACAAUAUCGAUACGACAAUCGAUGAGGAUGGCUUUCCAGUAUAUAGAAGGCGAGAAAAUGUGUCACAUCCCCAGUUCAGGCCUUGCUUGUCUUUGCAUUAGUAUCCAUGCAUCAUGUUUAAAUUUUAUGAAACUUGAAAUGGGGAUUGCCUAAACCCUAGCACCAAAUGAAUUCAACUAGGUUCAACUAAAAUAUUUUCAGUGAAUCCAAAUGGCUUUAAAAAAUGUUCAUCAUUUCUGGAAAAUGCUGGAGACAUAACCAGGGGUGUUGCACAUUUUUCCAUGACAUAUUUGGGCUCUAAAUUAAAUCUUAUAGUAUUUGCAUUUGGGCAUUUAAAUGCUAUUAAAUAUUUUAAAUGCUCAAAUAAUCAUAACUAAAAUGUUUACUGUUGGAUAUAUUCUAAACAGUAGUCAUGAUUAGUUUCAUGAUCUUUGGAAAAGCCCUGACAUUUUUAAUAAAGCCCAGAAGUUAUAGAAAAAUAGAAAAGAGGAAACAAAAGAGAGAGCGAGAGAGACUUACCUGGCUUACCUGGACGGCCCAGUAGGCAGCCCACCUGGCCGGCCCAGCCCAGCGCCGCUGCCAGUCAUCUCCCACCUCUCGCCAGUAGGACGAGAGGCGUGUGGCCGCCGUGCGCGCCCACGCGCCUCGGCCACCUCCUGCUUCCCACCGCCUCCCGACGUCGCUCUGGACGCCCUGGACGUCGACACGCAACCCCUCUGGCUCUCUCUCACUCUCCCCGUGCUCCUCCCCCUCCUCUGCUCUCUCUCCCUCUCACCACCGAACGCCACCGCCGCCGCCGUUCGCCAUAGCCGCAGUCGCAGCCAACCCCACGCCUCACCGACGCGGCCACGAGCUCCGCCUCGUCCCUCUCUUCCUCCUCACCGAGCCGCUCGACGCCGGAAGCCCCCUGGAUGCCGCAAGCACCGCCGUUCCCCUCGUCGUCCACCGGAGAUCAUCACCGUCGAUUUGCUGCCUCCGGUGCCUCCCCGAGCUCGCUGACGCUCCCGUUUGACCCACUGUGAGCUCCUCUGCCGCUCCACUCUCUCCCCGUGCUCUAUUGCGCCGUGUACCCGCCAUUUCCACCGGAGCCGAGAGCCGGCUGCCGCCGUUCUUGUCGCCGCUGGAACAAGAGCUAGAAAAGCUCGUUCCCGAGCACGGCUAUGUGCUCAGCAGCUCCGCAGCAAGCUAACGCCGCCACCAGCUUGUCUCCCCAUGCACCAUAGCGCUGCGCCGCUCGAUCCCGAGCUCCGGCAACCGCCGCGGGCUCCACUCCGGCGAGCUCCAGCCUCCCCACGACCCAGCACCUGGACCGUUCGACGCGUGGGAGCAAGAGCUUUCCAAUGCACCCAGACACGCUUCGAACGGUGGCCCGUAGAGCAAACCCGACACGGGCACAGCCGCGGUCUGUCGUCGCCGGCGGUUAAACGCCGGUGGCUGACGUGGCACCAUUAGUUUAGGUGCUAAUCGUGUUUAGUUAUUGCCUGUGUCAAUGACAUGUGGGUCCCGGAGCAUAAUUAGGUUAGUCUAAUUUUCUUUUAAGAUUAUUACUAAUACGUGUGUACCCCACGUGUCAGCUUUGACUUUGGUCAAGUCAACGUUGACUGGUCCCACCUGUCAUCCACCCAAACCAGCCUGAGACACUGACGUAUGGGUCCCACAGGUCAGGUUUGACCUGGCCGACCCAGUUGACCUGCUGACGUCACACCUAAGUCAUGCUGACGCAGUAAAUCCUUUUCUGGAUUUAUUCUUAUUCAGAAAAAUCCAAAAAUUUGCCUAAACUUCUAAAAUUCAUAGAAAAUAAUUUAUAACUCAGAAUGAAAUAAACUAUAUAUGAAAAAUGAUCAGAAAAAUCCAAUCUACCCAUCUGUACCAUUUUCAUGCAUGUUAGAACACUUUAACCUUGCUGUUUAGGUGAAACAAGGUAAUGCACUAAUAUGACCUUUUCAAAUGGGUUUGCAUUUGAAUCCUUGGUUCAAAUGGACUCAUCUCAACAUGUUCUAGCUUGCAUUAGCUUAAACCACAACAUAUUGCUAUGUCAUGAUCAUGCAUCGUAUUGUGCAUUGCAUUGAUUGUGUUUUUUCUUUGUUUGUCGGUGCUUGUCCCCUCUCAAUAAGACGUGUACCGAUGAUGUGAUCGAUGACACCAAUGAAGAGAUAUACUAUCUUCAGAAGUGCCAGGCAAGGAAACCCCCCUUGUUCAUUCCAAUAUAAUCCCACCCUCUCGCUCCUGCUCUCUUUUAAUGCAUUAGGACAACAACGAUUCAACUGUACUUGCUGCGGUAGCUGAACCCCUUUAUCCUCUGCAUGACCUGCCAUUGCCACAGUAAAUAGAUGAAACCCACUAGCAUGAGUAGGAGUUGUUUGAGCCCUGUUGUGCCUACUCAUUCAUGCUUGUUUGUCAUGCCUGCUACUGCUUAGAGUUGAGUCAGGUCUGAUUCAUCAGGGAUGAAUCAGAGGUGUGUGAACAUGUCCUACUAUGUGUGAGCUAAGUGUGUGAACACGAUUUGGUAAAUGUAGCGAUGAGAGGCCAUGUAGGAGUACAUGGUGGGUUGUCUCAUUGCAACCGUCUUCAGGAACUGAGUUCUGUGUUUGUGAUCCAUGAAACAGCUACUACCACGCAUUGGGCCCGAAACCAAUGGACCCUCUAGGCUUCUUAAUCACCCUUGUUCUCUGUCCAGGAGUUGCAACUAGUUUCUGGUGUUUGUAGGAUAUGUGUUGGAGGCCGUGGGCAGCGCUGACCCGAGGGGUGGGCUGUGAUGCGGUAGAUACACCGUGGCACGGUGUACCGGGCGCCCGUUUGGUGUCUCGGGAACCCUGCACACAUCGUUUGGGGCUGUGAGCGAAACUCCGGCCGGAUCUCCUCGCGGAUGGAACCCGAAUAGGCGAUAAACCUGGACUAGAGACUUGAGUGUUUAGGUAGGUCGUGGCCGACACCCUCGGUGGGCUUCCGCUUGAAGGUUUCCGAGUACAUGUCGUGUAAACGGCGGUAAGUGGUGAGAGUGUGUGUGAGGAAGUACACCCCUGCAGGGUUAACAUCAUCUAUUCGAAUAGCCGUGUCCGCGGAAAAGGACUUCUGGGUUGCCUGUACAGUUCAUAGACAAGUGAAAGUGGAUACUCUAAAAUACGCAAGAUAAGUGUGAGUGCUAUGGAUGGCGUUCUCGUAGGGCGAUGGGAGCGGAUCCAUAGUGGUGUAUUGAUAUGGUGAAUAUGUGGAUUCGUGUGCGCCACCUCAAAAGAGUUACUUGCAGUCGUAGUUCAGGAUAGCCACCGAGUCAAAGCUGGCUUGCUGCAGUUAAACCCCACCAUCCCCUUUGUUGAUAAUGAUGCAUAUGUAGUUAGUUCUGAUGUAAGUCUUGCUGGGUACAUUUGUACUCACGUUUGCCUAUUUUAUGUUUUUGCAGAGAGACUUCGGUCUCGCUAGUAGUUCCGCGUGGACUUCGACGUUUAGCUUGAUACCUCAGCUACGAUCUUGUGCCCUCGGCGGGAUCUGGUAGAUAGUCAGGCUUCUUAGCCUUUUUCAUUUGUAGAUGUCUGUACUCAGACAUGUUAAGCUUCCGCAUGUGCUUUGACUUGUAUGCUCUGAAUGUUGGGUCGUGAGACCCAUGUUUGUAAUAUCUUGCUCCCGGGAGCCUAUGGAAUAAAUACUUGAGUCGUAGAGUCAUGUUGUGAUGCCAUGUUGUAUUUGCACAUAUCGAGCAUAUUGUGUGUAUGUUAUUGAAAUGCUUGGUAUGUGUGGGAUCUGACUAUCUAGUUGUUUAUCCUUGGUAGCCUCUCUUACCGGGAAAUGUCUCCUAGUGUUUCCACCGAGCCAUGGUAGCUUGCUACUGCUCUGGAACACUUAGGCUGGCCGGCAUGUGUCCUUCUUCGUUCCUGUGUCUGUCCCCUCGGGGAAAUGUCACGUGAUGAAUACUAGAGUCCUGUUAGCCCGCUAUAGCCCGAUUCACCGGAGUCCUGCUAGCCCAGUGCUACAGCCUGGAUUCACUCGCUGAUGACCGACACGUUCGAUGCUGGUUCAUGGAUGCCUGUCCCUGUAAGUUUGUGCCACUUUGGGUUUACGACUAGCCAUGUCAGCCCGGACUCCUUAUCAUAUAGAUGCUAGCGACACUAUCAUAUACGUGUGCCAAAAGGCGCAAACGGUCCCUAGCAAAGGUAAGGCGAUACCCGUGGGAUUACCGUGCGUGAGGCCGCAAAGUGAUAUGAUGUGUUACAUGCUAGAUCGAUGUGGCAUUGAGUCGGGGUCCUGACAGCUUUGGUAUCAGAGCCUGACUGCCUGUAGGAUUACCAAGCCAAACUGGUCGAAGUUGAGUCUAGAAAUUCUUUAGUUAUGUAAGAGAAUUGAUUGUGGGAUGGAACGUAAGGCUCUUUUUACUCCUUAUACCUCAUGUCCUUCUGAUCUGAGUCAUCUUAUCUUUCCUGCGGGGUUAAGGAACUAGGCUUUCUCUUCUUUCUAUCAGGAUCACGUGUUACUAAUCCGUAGACUUAUAAGAUUGUUGGUUUUAAGCCUCAGUUCAGUCCCUACUACUUCCGUAUGUUAACUGUUGAUCUUGAAACCUUGAUAUUGUACUUCUGAGUGGCUAUGCCACCAUCUUUGUAGCAUGUCUCCAAUCUUUUUGAGCAUUUACAACCAUUAUGCUGUCCGAGUCAUCCCAGGUUUCUAAAUAGUCUGAUGCAUUUGCAAAUCCCUUCUUUCCGUUCCCGAUGUCCCUUUGGUCAGAUUAAUCACACAAAUUAGUGAGUUGAGGUACUUUAUUGCCUCGACACAUAUGUUGGAGUUAAUAUUAUGACCCUAGGUGUCUAGAGGAUCAUCUAGUAGUCUAGCCAUGUUUUGUAUUCCCAGUGUGAUCAUUCUGGCCGUCAUCCUCGAAAGCAUCCCGUGAUGCCACUUAGUUAGUAGGCAUUUCACUUCUGAGUUUUGAACCUGAGAUUCACCCUACUUACUUCAUGUUGAUAGUAAUUGCUAGCUCCUUUAGGAUAUUAGUAACCUUUGCGAUAGUCCUCGAGGUCCGUGGUAUAUCGUUCUUCCAAAUACCAUGAACCAUUCUUGGCAGGAGUUCUUUUGAACCAAAAGAUCACAACAAGAGUGCUCUCGAUGAGUUCUCCAUUCUAUAUUGCGACUCUGCCAGUUCUACUUUUCUGCAUGGAUUAUCCGGAAGAAACCUGUUGAACUCAUUCGACAUGCUAGUCCAUGCAUCCGCAACUCAGAAAAACAUAUGUUCCUUUGAGUUGUCCCUCUUUAGUUGUCUUCUGACCUUCGUCUAUCAAUUGAUAGUCAAGAGUAUGCGUGCGUUCGUUUAUCGAUGCCUAUUACUCUUGUGGUCCGUCAAGCCAUUCUAUUAUAGAAUGACUAGGAGAAACAAACUCCAGAACCUGAUCCAUAUCCAGGGUUGGUCAAAGAAGUUGUGCUUCGCAGAUCAAAUUGCUAAUCCAGCUUUUGUUCUGCUCUACCUUGGAGUAUUAUUAUCUUUAUAUUAAGAAUAUCAUGGGAAUUGCACACCAUCAUAUGAACUCUUGAUACAGUAAUACAUUAUUGCCAUCAUUGUUCAUUCCUCGGUUUCCAUGUUAUUGUAACCGGAAUGCCGACAAGUGAAUCAUGGUGUGUGAAAUCAAUACUGCUAGCAACUUCGUUGCUUAGUAGUUAAAUGGACGAUAACCUCAUUCUUAGCGUGUUGAUUAUUGAAUCGUCACCCUAAGAUUGAUUGUGCUACCUAGUCCCUAUUUCCGGUGCACUCUUCGGUCGUUGAGUUGGGAUUUUGCCAAUCCCUUGCUUAUUUGAUCAUCUCGUCUUGCCCUGAAAAGCAAGAUUGUUCUCGAGCUUAAUAGCAUAUCGGUGGUUCGUGAUUUUUCGAUUAUCUUCUCAGAAGUAUCACCAGGUUGUCACCUGACUGUUAUGUUGAGCUCAUGAUCAAGUUGGUUUCUUGUAAACCACCCCUUAUCCAAGAGUCUAUGUUGGGUACCCCUGAGCUGUUUGGUCAAGCUAAACAACAACUUGGAGAGUUGGAAGAUGGAAGCUUGUCCAAUUUAGUUCAUCUUAAGGGAUAUCUUGUAUCUGUGUUGAAGGUAGAUGAUAUCUUCCUUGAGUGAACCUCAUGGUAAAUUAUUGGAUCUAUUGUCUUGCCAAAACUUUGAUUUGAGUAUGGGUUAUCCUCAAAUCAAAUCAGAACCAACGAUGUUCGUAAUGUUGUCUUACUCGUGGUUGAUCCCUCGAGCAUACACCAUUAUAUCCUUUGGUCUGACCAAUGCUAUCACCAUGUUCAUUUAAUUAUGGAAUUCCAUUUAUAUGGAAACCUGGAUGAAUUGUUGUUGAGCCCAUCGACAACAUCCUUGUCUUCUCCAUGAUUUUUGUUGAACAUUAAGCUAGUGUUGGAAACUUUUGAAAGCAUUUCUUCAUGUUAGUUCAUGAAGCAUAUGCCCGGAAGAAAGAAGUGAUUUCCUCUAACUCAUGUGCAGUUGAUGCAAGUUGUCGCCAUGACUUCGAGAAAGUCAAUGUUGCUUCUUUUGGAAUCAUCCCAAAUCGGUCAUGCAUACGUGUGAAGUAUUCUGUGGUUCGGAGAUUUGCAACCUUCAUUCUAUAUGUAUUCCUAGCACACCAAGCCACUGAUUGAUUUGUUCAAGGAGAAGAAAUUCCUUCUUAAGAGUAUACCUUAUGCAAGGACUUUGAUAUCCUCGAUGAUGAUUCCCCUCCUGAACUCGGUAGUGUUUUAUUAUAAGACUACUUUGUGGUCAUGCUUGUCUUGGACAACAUGUUCACAUGUUGUAGCAGAACCGGCUCGUGUUUUUGGAGCUUGCUAUCAUAGUUCAUUCCCCGAGAAUCUCGCAACGUCGUCUCGUUGAUUUGUGUUGCAAACUUUCAUUUUUCUUUCUGGACUUGAUGAGUAUGGAAUGUCCUGACACCAACCAGAUCUGAAUCUCAGGCAGAUAUGAUGGUUGGAACAUUUCCGACAUUUGCAUUUUGUUCCCAGCUUGCACCGCCUUGUGCCAAUCUCCCUUGGAUCGCCCUUCUCAGCAAUUGUUGUUUAGGAUCAUCUUCACAGGUGGUCCUACCAUGGGUCCCAUUCAUUUUCGAUAAUAAGCAAAAUCAUCCCUUGUGUUGUCUUCAACAAGGUAAUCCACAUCAUCCAUUCUGGCCCGAGAAUGUCAUUCUUUCGGACUCCUUCAAAUGAUCGAUUGUGAUUUUCUUUAGGCUGGUAUAAAGAGUUUCAAUGAUCUCUGAAUCAAAGGUAAUUCUUUUUGCCACUUAAGGGGAUAUAUCUACAAGUCACCAUCCCUAAGGUGUCUUGUUGUGGUAUCAUGGCAACUCAACUCCUUGCUGCGUUGACAACCGAUUACCACCUUCUUAAGUGCGGAAAUGUUGUCUACCUAGUGAUCCUUCGACAUCUGUUCCACUCCAUUUCUUUGGAUGAAUGCUUCGUCUCUCAGCUCGAGAGAUGUUGCUAUGUCUCAUUCCGUGAGUUAAUCCUGAGUUGUUCGAUCUUUGAGAAGAUCGACCCUUCUAGAGUCUCCUUCUUCUCUUCAUGUCAUGUUGGCAGGAGUUCCCAGAGCAAGACUUCAAGACAAUGAUGAUGAUCGGAUCAACGUUCUUUGAAGUGCCACCUGGAUCGUGAAGAUUAUGUUAGCUUGCGAUCCCCCUUCAUCUUACCCUACGCUUGAAUCUCGGGACGAGAUUCUUGUUUAGUGGGGGUGAGUUGUCACAUCCCCAGUUCAGGCCUUGCUUGUCUUUGCAUUAGUAUCCAUGCAUCAUGUUUAAAUUUUAUGAAACUUGAAAUGGGGAUUGACUAAACCCUAGCACCAAAUGAAUUCAACUAGGUUCAACUAAAAUAUUUUCAGUGAAUCCAAAUGGCUUUAAAAAAUGUUCAUCAUUUCUGGAAACUGCUGGAGACAUAACCAGGGGUGUUGCACAUUUUUCCAUGACAUAUUUGGGCUCUGAAUUAAAUCUUAUAGUAUUUGCAUUUGGGCAUUUAAAUGCUACUAAAUAUUUUAAAUGCUCAAAUAAUCAUAAACUAAAAUGUUUACUGUUGGAUAUAUUGCAAACAGUAGUCAUGAUUAGUUUCAUGAUUUUUGGAAAAGCCCUGACAUUUUUAAUAAAGCCCAGAAGUUACAGAAAAAUACAAAAGAGGAAACAAAAGAGAGAGAGAGAGACUUACCUGGCUUACCUGGACGGCCCAGUAGGCAGCCCACCUGGCCGGCCCAGCCCAGCGCCGCUGCCAGUCAUCUCCCACCUCUCGCCAGUAGGACGAGAGGCGUGUGGCCACCGUGCGCGCCCACGCGCCUCGGCCACCUCCUGCUUCCCACCGCCUCCCGACGUCGCUCUGGACGCACUGGACGUCGACACGCAACCCCUCUGGCUCUCUCUCACUCUCCCCGUGCUCCUCCCCCUCCUCUGCUCUCUCUCCCUCUCACCACCGAAUGCCACCGCCGCUGCCGUUCGCCAUAGCCGCAGCCACAGCCAACCCCACGCCUCACCGACGCGGCCACGAGUUCCGCCUCGUCCCUCUCUUCCUCCUCACCGAGCCGCUCGACGCCGGAAGCCCCCUGGAUGCCGCAAGCACCGCCGUUCCCCUCGUCGUCCACCGGAGAUCGUCGCCGUUGAUUUGCUGCCUCCGGUGCCUCCCCGAGCUCGCUGCCGCUCCCGUUUGACCCACUGUGAGCUCCUCUGCCGCUCCACUCUCUCCCCGUGCUCUAUUUCGCCGUGUACCCGCCGUUUCCACCGGAGCCGAGAGCCGGCCGCCGCCGUUCUUGUCGCCGCUGGAACAAGAGCUAGCAAAGCUCGUUCUCGAGCACGGCUACGUGCUCAGCAGCUCUGCAGCAAGCUAACGCCGCCACCAGCUUGUCUCCCCGUGUACCAUAGCGCUGUGCCGCUUGAUCCCGAGCUCCGGCAACCGCCGCGGGCUCCACUCCGGCGAGCUCUAGCCUCCCCACGACCCAGCACCUGCACUGUUCGACGCGCGGGAGCAAGAGCUUUCCAACGCACCCAGACACGCUUCGAACGGUGGCCCGUAGAGCAAACCCGACGCGGGCACAGCCGCGGUCUGUCGUUGCCGGCGGUUAAACGCCGGUGGCUGACGUGGCACCAUUAGUUUAGGUGCUAAUCGUGUUUAGUUAUUGCCUGUGUCAAUGACAUGUGGGUCCCGGAGCAUAAUUAGAUUAGUCUAAUUUUCUUUUAAGAUUAUUACUAAUACGUGUGUACCCCACGUGUCAGCUUUGACUUUGGUCAAGUCAACGUUGACUGGUCCCACCUGUCAUCCACCCAAACCAGCCUGAGACACUGACGUAUGGGUCCCACAGGUCAGGUUUGACCUGGCCGACCCAGUUGACCUGCUGAUGUCACACCUACGUCAUGCUGACGCAGUAAAUCCUUUUCUGGAUUUAUUCUUAUUCAGAAAAAUCCAGAAAUUUGCCUAAACUUCUAAAAUUCAUAGAAAAUAAUCUAUAACUCUGAAUGAAAUAAAUUAUAUAUGAAAAAUGAUCAGAAAAAUCCAAUCUAUCCAUCUGUACCAUUUUCAUGCAUGUUAGAACACUUUAACCUUAUUGUUUAGGUGAAACAAGGUAAUGCACUAAUAUGACCUUUUCAAAUGGGUUUGCAUUUGAAUCCUUGGUUCAAAUGGACUCAUCUCAACCUGUUCUAGCUUGCAUUAGCUUAAACCACAGCAUAUUGCCAUGUCAUGAUCAUGCAUCAUAUUGUGCAUUGCAUUGAUUGUGUUUUUUCUUUGUUUGUUGGUGCUUGUCGCCUCUCAAUAAGACGUGUACCGACGAUGUGAUCGAUGACACCAAUGAAGAGAUAUACUAUCUUCAGAAGUGCCAGGCAAGCCAAACCCCCUUGUUCAUUCCGAUAUAAUCCCACCCUCUCGCUCCUGCUCUCUUUUAAUGCAUUAGGACAACAACGAUUCAACUGUACUUGCUGCGGUAGAUGAACCCCUUUAUCCUCUGCAUGACCUGUCAUUGCCACAGUAAAUAGAUGAAACCCACUAGCAUGAGUAGGAGUUGUUUGAGCCCUGUUGUGCCUACUCAUUCAUGCUUGUUUGUCAUGCCUGCUACUACUUAGAGUUGAGUCAGGUCUGAUUCAUCAGGGAUGAAUCAGAGGUGUGUGAACAUGUCCUACUGUGUGUGAGCUAAGUGUGUGAACACGAUAAGGUAAAGGUAGUAGUGAGAGGCCAUGUAGGAGUACAUGGUGGGUUGUCUCAUUGCAACCGUCCUCAGGAACCGAGUUCUGUGUUUGUGAUCCAUGAAACAGCCACUACCACGCAUUGGGCCCGAAACCAAUGGACCCUCUCUGCUUCUUAAUCACCCUUGUUCUCUGUCCAGGAGUUGCAACUAGUUUCUGGUGUUUGUAGGAUAUGUGUUGGAGGCCGUGGGCAGCGCUGACCCGAGGGUGGGCUGUGAUGCGGUAGAUACACCAUGGCACGGUGUACCGGGCACCCGUUUGGUGUCUCGGGAACCCUGCACACAUCGUUUGGGGCUGUGAGUGAAACUCCGGCCGGAUCUCCUCGCAGAUGGAACCCGAAUAGGCGAUAAACCUGGAGUAGAGACUUGAGUGUUUAGGUAGGUCAUGGCCGAUACCCUCGUUGGGCUUCCGCUUGAAGGUUGCCGAGUACAUGUCGUGUAAACGGUGGUAAGUGGUGAGAGCGUGUGUGAGGAAGUACACCCCUGCAGGGUUAACAUCAUUUAUUCGAAUAGCCAUGUCCGCGGAAAAGGACAUCUGGGUUGCCUGUACAGUUCAUAGACAAGUGAAAGUGGAUACUCUAAAAAAUGCAAGAUAAGUGUGAGUGCUAUGGAUGGCGUUCUCGUAGGGCGACGGGAGCGGAUCCAUAGAGGUGUAUUGAUAUGGUGAAUAUGUGGACUCAUGUGCGCCACCUCAAAAGAGUUACUUGCAGUCGUAGUUCAGGAUAGCCACCGAGUCAAAGCUGGCUUGCUGCAGUUAAACCCCACCAUCCCCUUUGUUGAUAAUGAUGCAUAUGUAGUUAAUUCUGAUGUAAGUCUUGCUGGGUACAUUUGUACUCACGUUUGCCUAUUUUAUGUUUUUGCAGAGAGACUUCGGUCUCGCUAGUAGUUCCGCAUGGACUUCGACGUUUAGCUUGAUACCUCAGCUACGAUCUUGUGCCCUCGGCAGGAUCUGGUAGAUAGUCAGACUUCUUAGCCUUUUUCAUUUGUAAAUGUCUGUACUCAGACAUGUUAAGCUUCCGCAUGUGCUUUGACUUGUAUGCUCUGAAUGUUGGGUCGUGAGACCCAUGUUUGUAAUAUCUCGCUCCCCGAAACCUAUGGAAUAAAUACUUGAGGCGUAGAGUCAUGUUGUGAUGCCAUGUUGUAUUUUCACAUAUCAAGCAUAUUGUGUGUAUGUUAUUGAAAUGCUUGGUAUGUGUGGGAUCUGACUAUCUAGUUGUUUAUCCUUGGUAGCCUCUCUUACCGGGAAAUGUCUCCUAGUGUUUCCACCGAGCCAUGGUAGCUUGCUACUGCUCUGGAACACUUAGGCUGGCCGGCAUGUGUCCUUCUUCGUUCCUGUGUCUGUCCCCUCGGGGAAAUGUCACGCGAUGAAUACCGGAGUCCUGUUAGCCCGCUACAGCCCGGUGCACCGGAGUCCUGCUAGCCCAGUGCUACAGCCUGGAUUCACUUGCUGAUGACCGACACGUUCGAUGCUGGGUCAUGAAUGCCUGUCCCUGUAAGUUUGUGCCACUUUGGGUUUACGACUAGCCAUGUCAGCCCGGACUCCUUAUCAUAUAGAUGCUAGCGACACUAUCAUAUACGUGUGCCAAAAGGCGCAAACGGUCCCGGGCAAAGGUAAGGCGACACCCGUGGGAUUACCGUGCGUGAGGCCGCAAAGUGAUAUGAUGUGUUACAUGCUAGAUCGAUGUGGCAUUGAGUCGGGGUCCUGACACAAUGGAAGGAAUAUAAAAAGGGAGGAGCAAUGCUCGAUAACAGAUUUGUUGUGCCAUACAACAGAAACCUUUUGGUCAAAUUCCAAGCUCACAUAAAUGUGGAGUGGUGCAACAGGUCCAGGUCAAUCAAGUACCUAUUUAAGUACAUCCAUAAAGAUGACGACCAAGUAACAACCUUACUAAAGGAAAGGGACGCGAUAGACGACUAUGAUGAAAUCAAGAAAUACCUAGAGAUGAGAUACAUAUCAACAACCGAAGCAUGCUAGCGGAUAUUCCAGUUUGAUCUACACCAUCGUGAUCCACCA